RNAcentral lists this non-coding RNA (25 nucleotides) under Cricetulus griseus (Chinese hamster). Lineage: Eukaryota; Metazoa; Chordata; Mammalia; Rodentia; Cricetidae. The record is from RNAcentral.
GUGGAGAGGAACAAAUCUGAGUCAU